Molecule: ribosomal RNA, 497 nt
Filed under: uncultured bacterium
Lineage: Bacteria
Description: partial 16S ribosomal RNA
Rfam family: Bacterial small subunit ribosomal RNA
Source: RNAcentral
GAUGAACGCUGGCGGCGUGCCUAAUACAUGCAAGUCGAGCGAACGGACGCGAAGCUUGCUUUUCUGAUGUUAGCGGCGGACGGGUGAGUAACACGUGGAUAACCUACCUAUAAGACUGGGAUAACUUCGGGAAACCGGAGCUAAUACCGGAUAAUAUUUUGAACCGCAUGGUUCAAAAGUGAAAGACGGUCUUGCUGUCACUUAUAGAUGGAUCCGCGCUGCAUUAGCUAGUUGGUAAGGUAACGGCUUACCAAGGCAACGAUGCAUAGCCGACCUGAGAGAGGGAUCGGCCACACUGGAACGGAGACAGGGUCCAGACUACUGCGGGAGGCAGCAGUAGGGAAUCUUCCGCAAUGGACGAAAGCCUGACGGAGCAACGCCGCGUGAGUGAUGAAGGUCUUCGGAUCGUAAAACUCUGUUAUUAGGGAAGAACAUAUGUGUAAGUAACUGUGCACAUCUUGACGGUACCUAAUCAGAAAGCCACGGCUAACUACGUG